GACGAACGCUGGCGGCGUGCCUAAUACAUGCAAGUCGAGCGAACCGACGAGGUGCUUGCACCUUUGACGUUAGCGGCGAACGGGUGAGUAACACGUAAGGAAUCUACCUAUAAGAGGGGGACAACAGUUGGAAACGACUGCUAAUACCGCAUAAGCCCACAGCUCCGCAUGGAGCAGAGGGAAAAGGAGCAAUCCGCUUUGAGAUGGCCUCGCGUCCGAUUAGCUAGUUGGUGAGGUAACGGCCCACCAAGGCAACGAUCGGUAGCCGGACUGAGAGGUUGAUCGGCCACAUUGGGACUGAGACACGGCCCAG
Molecule: ribosomal RNA, 313 nt
Filed under: uncultured bacterium
Lineage: Bacteria
Description: bacterial SSU rRNA
Rfam family: Bacterial small subunit ribosomal RNA
Source: RNAcentral